CCUGCAGAUGGAUCAUUUCGAUGAAAACCUUUUUUUUGAGGUGUGGCUYGCACCUGUCCAACUAAACUUGAGCUACCUUUUUCAACACGGUUGCAUCGGUUGAGAGCCUGUCAAAGAACGCGAAAGUGUCCUUUGGGUUGGGCCCUCGACACUUUACACAAACACUUUUGAUCUUCUAGGAUUUGAAUGACAAUUUAUGACUGGUAAUUCGGUCGUUUAAAUUUAAAAACAACUUUUGGCAACGGAUCUCUUGGUUCUCCCAUCGAUGAAGAACGCAGCGAAUUGCGAUAAGUAAUGUGAAUUGCAGAAGUGAAUCAUCGAAUCUUUGAACGCACCUUGCGCUCCCUGCAGAUCUAAUCUGGGGAGCAUGCCUGUUUGAGGGCCGCGAAUUGUUUCGAACCACUCUUUUUUUAAUUAAGAAGGGCUGGCUCGGUAGUGAGGGUUUUUUUGCCAUUAACCGUGGCUCCCUCGAAAUACAUUAGCGCAUCCAUUUGAUAGGCAAGAACGGACGAAAGCUCAUCUUUCGCUCUCUCUUCCCUGCCGGGUUUUGAUAAUAUCAGGACUUCGGAGGCGGAGAAAGGGCAAGAGCUGGACGCAACGAUCUUGCUGUUUGGCGUGCUUCUGAACCUCGCCCAUGCUUUGCUUCUUGCAAAGAAGGGAUUUUAAUAAUUCAUCGGCCUCARAUUGGUAGGACUACCCGCUGAACUUAAGCAUAUCAAUAAGCGGAGGAAAAGAAACUAACAAGGAUUCCCCUAGUAACGGCGAGUGAAGAGGGAAGAGCCCAAGAUUGAAAGCUGGCGCCUUCGGCGUCCGCAUUGUAAUCUCAAGAAGUGUUUUCCGCUUCGGACCAUGCCUAAGUCCCUUGGAAAAGGGCAUCAUAGAGGGUGAUAAUCCCGUACAUGGCAUGGAGCGCCCGAGGCUUUGUGAUACGCUUUCUAAGAGUCGAGUUGUUUGGGAAUGCAGCUCAAAAUGGGUGGUAAAUGCCAUCUAAGGCUAAAUAUUGGGGAGAGACCGAUAGCGAACAAGUACAGUGAUGGAAAGAUGAAAAGAACUUUGAAAAGAGAGUUAAACAGUACGUGAAAUUGCCAAAAGGGAAGGGUAGGAGGUCAGAGAUGCGUCUUGGGAUUCAGCCUUGCUUUUGCUUGGUGUUUUUCCCAAGUGGCAGGCCAACGUCGGUUUUGGGCACUGGAGAAGGGUGGAAGGAACGUGGCACCUCUCGGGGUGUGUUAUAGCCUUCUACUGGAUACAGCGACCGGGACCGAGGACAGCAGCGUACUCGCAAGAGCGGGCCUUCGGGCACCUUUACGCUUAGGACGUUGGCAUAAUGGCCCUCUACCACCCGUCUUGAAACACGG
This 1355-nucleotide ribosomal RNA is filed under the name Anthracocystis everhartii. RNAcentral describes it as "eukaryotic LSU rRNA". The stretch from base 675 to 1355 matches the Rfam family "Eukaryotic large subunit ribosomal RNA", at positions 1 to 664 of the family's 3401-position model. Lineage: Eukaryota; Fungi; Basidiomycota; Ustilaginomycetes; Ustilaginales; Ustilaginaceae. The record is from RNAcentral.